RNAcentral lists this unclassified non-coding RNA (250 nucleotides) under Hevea brasiliensis (rubber tree). The record is from RNAcentral. Lineage: Eukaryota; Viridiplantae; Streptophyta; Magnoliopsida; Malpighiales; Euphorbiaceae.
AAAUCAAUGGAUGCCACCGCCGUUCAACGACCCGAUUCGUUUGGUCGGUUUGGAAAGUUCGGCGGUAAGUAUGUACCGGAAACUCUAAUGCACGCUCUUGAUGAGCUGGAAACCGCCUUCAAUUCGCUCGCUACAGACCAGGACUUUCAGAAGGAACUAGAUGGGAUAUUAAGAGAUUAUGUUGGCAGAGAGAGCCCUCUUUAUUUUGCUGAGCGACUUACUGAGCAUUAUAAACGUCCAGAUGGUGAAG